GGCUUUAGCGCGGUGGUCCCACCUGACCCCAUGCCGAACUCAGAAGUGAAACGCCGUAGCGCCGAUGGUAGUGUGGGGUCUCCCCAUGUGAGAGUAGGGAACUGCCAGGC
Molecule: ribosomal RNA, 110 nt
Filed under: Enterobacter cloacae
Lineage: Bacteria; Pseudomonadati; Pseudomonadota; Gammaproteobacteria; Enterobacterales; Enterobacteriaceae
Also listed under: 15 other names
Source: RNAcentral